UACAGAGACCUCAAGCGUUAUCCGGAAUCAUUGGGCGUAAAGCGUGCCGAUAGGUGGUUGAAAUAGUCUUGGGUAAAAGCCAGAAGCUCAACUUCUGAGUUUGCUUAAGAUACUUUUCGACUAGAGGGGCAAAGAGGUGAUUGGAACGAAUGGUGUAGUAGUGAAAUGCGUUGAUAUCAUUCGGAACACCGAAAGCGAAGGCAGAUCACUGGGUGCCACCUGACACUGCUAGGACGAAAGCGUGGGGAGCGAAUGGG
This 257-nucleotide ribosomal RNA is filed under the name uncultured bacterium. Its description in RNAcentral is "partial 16S ribosomal RNA". It matches the Rfam family "Bacterial small subunit ribosomal RNA", at positions 524 to 776 of the family's 1533-position model. The record is from RNAcentral.